Alosa sapidissima (American shad) is the source of this 847-nucleotide long non-coding RNA. RefSeq lists it as uncharacterized. The record is from RefSeq and is a predicted model, not a curated record. The transcript has 2 exons. Lineage: Eukaryota; Metazoa; Chordata; Actinopteri; Clupeiformes; Clupeidae.
CCUCUGCAUGUGUACACACACACACACACACACACUGGAUAUCCUCAUGCUAUUCAUGAUUGUUUUCCUCUGUAUACAUAAAUAUGUGCUGCCAAAGAGCCACUUGUUAAUUUUCUUUUUCUUUGAAACGUGGUGUGAAAAAAAAAUGGUGGUGUGAACUUGCCACCUCCGCUGGACACUAUGCAGUCCUGUGGCCCGGCUCGGAGCACCCCGUAAAAAUAUAAAAAAAAUCCUUUCACAACAUGACAUCACCAGCUAUAUCACCUAAAAACAUGAGACUGGAUGGCAUGCCGUUAGUAGAGCUGCAACAAUUCAUCUAUUGUCAACUAUUGACUUUUGAUGACCGAAUCAAUCAUCAGUUUGAGUUUUUUUUUUUUUUUUUUACAAAAAGCAAAAAUUCAGCUUCUGAAAUGUUAGUAUUGCUAGAAAAUACACCAGAUGCCCCCAUUGUCAGAAUGAUGGUGGGUUUCAGCUCGUCAGACCGAGAGAGGUGGUCUUCGUCUUUAUUCCUGUGGCCCGUGUAUACGGUUACAUGACCGGGUCAGUUAUUCAUUUGAGAUCCUUCACUGAAAUUUGAACUGAACACCCAAACAGAGAGAGGGGAAAGAAUGAAGGGCUUUUGGUGAUGAGACGUUUUCCAUGUACAGCUCGUACCCUCGGUGAAUUAGAAGAGGCUGUGUAAAACCCAUUAUUUCUUUGUUUUAGACACAUCCUAUUGGGUUGUUAACUGCAUUCUGCUGCAUUCUUUUCCUGGCAGUUUGAAUCACUCUUUGUGGUGUGUGUGUGUGUGUGUGUGUGUGUAACACUUUCCCUGAGCCAGAAUGUUUCUGGCUGGAUGCUAAGAAUU